Molecule: unclassified non-coding RNA, 253 nt
Filed under: uncultured Pseudomonadaceae bacterium
Lineage: Bacteria; Pseudomonadati; Pseudomonadota; Gammaproteobacteria; Pseudomonadales; Pseudomonadaceae
Description: contains 16S-23S intergenic spacer region
Rfam family: Bacterial small subunit ribosomal RNA
Source: RNAcentral
CACGUAGGUUGCAAGCGUUGGCCGGACUUAUUGGGCGGAAAGCGCGCGUAGGUGGUUUGUUAAGUUGGAUGUGAAAGCCCCGGGCUUAACCUGGGAACUGCAUCCAAAACUGGCAAGCUAGAGUACGGUAGAGGGUGGUGGAAUUUCCUGUGUAGCGGUGAAAUGCGUAGAUAUAGGAAGGAACACCAGUGGCGAAGGCGACCACCUGGACUGAUACUGACACUGAGGUGCGGAAGCGUGGGGAGCAAACAGG